UACGGGAGGCAGCAGUGGGGAAUAUUGCACAAUGGGCGCAAGCCUGAUGCAGCCAUGCCGCGUGUAUGAAGAAGGCCUUCGGGUUGUAAAGUACUUUCAGUCGUGAGGAAGGUGUUAAGGUUAAUAACCUUAGCAAUUGACGUUAGCGACAGAAGAAGCACCGGCUAACUCCGUGCCAGCAGCCGCGGUAAUACGGAGGGUGCGAGCGUUAAUCGGAAUUACUGGGCGUAAAGGGCACGCAGGCGGUUAAUUAAGUUGGAUGUGAAAUCCCCGGGCUUAACCUGGGAAUGGCAUUCAAGACUGGUUAGCUAGAGUCUUGUAGAGGGGGUAGAAUUCCAUGUGUAGCGGUGAAAUGCAUAGAGAUGUGGAGGAAUACCGGUGGCGAAGGCGGCCCCUGGGACAAAGACUGACGCUCAUGUGCGAAAGCGUGGGGAGCAAACAGGAUUAGAUACC
RNAcentral lists this ribosomal RNA (453 nucleotides) under uncultured bacterium. RNAcentral describes it as "bacterial SSU rRNA". It matches the Rfam family "Bacterial small subunit ribosomal RNA", at positions 340 to 786 of the family's 1533-position model. The record is from RNAcentral.